GAUUGCCUACGGGGGGCAGCAGUGAGGAAUAUUGGUCAAUGGGCGAGAGCCUGAACCAGCCAAGUCGCGUGAGGGAGUACUGCCCUAUGGGUUGUAAACCUCUUUUGUCGGGGAGCAAAAGCCGGACGUGUCCGGCUGUGAGAGUACCCGAAGAAAAAGCAUCGGCUAACUCCGUGCCAGCAGCCGCGGUAAUACGGAGGAUGCGAGCGUUAUCCGGAAUUACUGGGUGUAAAGGGAGCGUAGACGGUGAUGCAAGUCUGGAGUGAAAGGCGGGGGCCCAACCCCCGGACUGCUCUGGAAACUGU
Molecule: ribosomal RNA, 305 nt
Filed under: uncultured bacterium
Lineage: Bacteria
Description: bacterial SSU rRNA
Rfam family: Bacterial small subunit ribosomal RNA
Source: RNAcentral